AACGCGAAGAACCUUACCUGGGUUAAAUCAAAGGUGCAAGGCGCAGAGAUGCGUCCCCCGGGCAACCGGCGCUUUUGAAGGUGCUGCAUGGCUGUCGUCAGCUCGUGUCGUGAGAUGUUGGGUUAAGUCCCGCAACGAGCGCAACCCUUACCACUAGUUGCCAGCAUUAAGUUGGGCACUCUAGCGGAACUGCCGGUGAUAAACCGGAGGAAGGUGGGGAUGACGUCAAGUCAUCAUGGCCUUUAUGUCCAGGGCUACACACGUGCUACAAUGGCCGGUACAAACUGCUGCAAACUCGCGAGAGGGAGCCAAUCGGAAAAAACCGGUCUCAGUUCGGAUUGGAGUCUGCAACUCGACUCCAUGAAGUUGGAAUCGCUAGUAAUCGCAGAUCAGCACGCUGCGGUGAAUACGUUCCCGGGUCUUGUACACACCG
RNAcentral lists this ribosomal RNA (433 nucleotides) under uncultured bacterium. Its description in RNAcentral is "bacterial SSU rRNA". It matches the Rfam family "Bacterial small subunit ribosomal RNA", at positions 958 to 1392 of the family's 1533-position model. The record is from RNAcentral.